GCGGGUAAGAACUGGAAAGCCUUUACUCAGGGUUUAGACGCCAGUUGUCCUACAGAAGCUGCCUUCAACUGUAUCACCCCAAUCAACUGUCUUACCAGCCACAAGCAGUGAAGGAGAUGGCUCGCUAUCUGAACUACUUGGCGUGGCCCUGGCUGUUGGCCCUGCUUCUCGCUCACAGUUGCACAAUAUGGGAACUAUGGAGGUGGUGGUGGUGGAGGCGAUAGACAGAUUGGACGCCCGCCUCAUAUUGACAAUGGACAAGGUUUCAUUGGUGGUGUUAAUGCUCCUAGACCAGGCUCGGUAAUAAUAACAACUCACAUACAUUAUCUUGUUAUCAGUAUUUAUACCAAACAAUUUGUUUGAUAAGAACAUGUUUUUAUUUAUGCAAAAUAUUUUCGCUUUAGAAUUCUUUAAUAAUUAUCGACUGCAAAGUGACAUUCUGUGUUAGGUGAAUACAAU
Molecule: long non-coding RNA, 459 nt
Organism: Homarus americanus (American lobster)
Lineage: Eukaryota; Metazoa; Arthropoda; Malacostraca; Decapoda; Nephropidae
Exons: 3
Source: RefSeq, a predicted model, not a curated record